Molecule: ribosomal RNA, 500 nt
Filed under: uncultured bacterium
Lineage: Bacteria
Description: partial 16S ribosomal RNA
Rfam family: Bacterial small subunit ribosomal RNA
Source: RNAcentral
AUUGAACGCUGGCGGCAUGCCUUACACAUGCAAGUCGAACGGCAGCGCGGACUUCGGUCUGGCGGCGAGUGGCGAACGGGUGAGUAAUACAUCGGAACGUACCCUGUUGUGGGGGAUAACUAGUCGAAAGAUUAGCUAAUACCGCAUACGACCUGAGGGUGAAAGUGGGGGACCGCAAGGCCUCACGCAGCAGGAGCGGCCGAUGUCUGAUUAGCUAGUUGGUGGGGUAAAGGCCCACCAAGGCGACGAUCAGUAGCUGGGCUGAGAGGACGAUCAGCCACACUGGGACUGAGACACGGCCCAGACUCCUACGGGAGGCAGCAGUGGGGAAUUAUGGACAAUGGGGGCAACCCUGAUCCAGCAAUGCCGCGUGUGUGAAGAAGGCCUUCGGGUUGUAAAGCACUUUUGUCCGGAAAGAAAUCGCGCUGGUUAAUACCUGGCGUGGAUGACGGUACCGGAAGAAUAAGCACCGGCUAACUACGUGCCAGCCGCCGCAGUAA